AGAACGAACGCUGGCGGCAUGCCUAACACAUGCAAGUCGAACGAGACCUUCGGGUCUAGUGGCGCACGGGUGCGUAACGCGUGGGAACCUGCCCUUAGGUUCGGAAUAACUCCUCGAAAGGGGUGCUAAUACCGGAUGAUGUCUUCGGACCAAAGAUUUAUCGCCUAUGGAUGGGCCCGCGUUGGAUUAGCUAGUUGGUGAGGUAAAGGCUCACCAAGGCGACGAUCCAUAGCUGGUCUUAGAGGAUGAUCAGCCACACUGGGACUGAGACACGGCCCAGACCUCCUACGGGAGGCAGCAGGUGGGGAAUAGUUGGACAAGUGGGACGAAAGCCUGAUCCAGCAAGUGACCGCGUGAGUGAUGAAGGCUUAGGUGUAAAGUCGUCUUUACCGGGAUAGAUAA
This 402-nucleotide ribosomal RNA is filed under the name uncultured soil bacterium. RNAcentral describes it as "bacterial SSU rRNA". It matches the Rfam family "Bacterial small subunit ribosomal RNA", at positions 26 to 452 of the family's 1533-position model. The record is from RNAcentral.